This 402-nucleotide ribosomal RNA is filed under the name uncultured bacterium. Its description in RNAcentral is "bacterial SSU rRNA". It matches the Rfam family "Bacterial small subunit ribosomal RNA", at positions 355 to 774 of the family's 1533-position model. The record is from RNAcentral.
UGGGGAAUAUUGCACAAUGGGCGAAAGCCUGAUGCAGCAACGCCGCGUGAGUGAUGAAGGCCUUCGGGUUGUAAAGCUCUGUCUUUUGGGACGAUAAUGACGGUACCAAAGGAGGAAGCCACGGCUAACUACGUGCCAGCAGCCGCGGUAAUACGUAGGGGGCAAGCGUUGUCCGGAUUUACUGGGUGUAAAGGGCGCGCAGGCGGGAUAGAAAGUCAGUGGUGAAAUCCUACAGCUUAACUGUAGAACUGCCUUUGAUACUUUUAUUCUUGAGUUCGGGAGAGAGAGACGGAAUUCCAGGUGUAGUGGUGAAAUACGUAGAUAUCUGGAAGAACACCAGUUGCGAAGGCGGUCUCUUGGUCCGACACUGACGCUGAGGCGCGAAAGCGUGGGGAGCAAACA